This 693-nucleotide ribosomal RNA is filed under the name beta proteobacterium B3_14. RNAcentral describes it as "bacterial SSU rRNA". It matches the Rfam family "Bacterial small subunit ribosomal RNA", at positions 47 to 743 of the family's 1533-position model. Lineage: Bacteria; Pseudomonadati; Pseudomonadota; Betaproteobacteria. The record is from RNAcentral.
CCUUACACAUGCAAGUCGAACGGUAACAGCACUUCGGUGGCUGACGAGUGGCGGACGGGUGAGUAAUACAUCGGAACGUGCCCGAUCGUGGGGGAUAACUACUCGAAAGAGUGGCUAAUACCGCAUACGAUCUACGGAUGAAAGCGGGGGAUCGCAAGACCUCGCGCGGACGGAGCGGCCGAUGGCAGAUUAGGUAGUUGGUGGGAUAAAAGCUUACCAAGCCGACGAUCUGUAGCUGGUCUGAGAGGACGACCAGCCACACUGGGACUGAGACACGGCCCAGACUCCUACGGGAGGCAGCAGUGGGGAAUUUUGGACAAUGGGGGAAACCCUGAUCCAGCCAUGCCGCGUGCAGGAUGAAGGCCUUCGGGUUGUAAACUGCUUUUGUACGGAACGAAAAGACUCUUUCUAAUACAGAGGGUCCAUGACGGUACCGUAAGAAUAAGCACCGGCUAACUACGUGCCAGCAGCCGCGGUAAUACGUAGGGUGCAAGCGUUAAUCGGAAUUACUGGGCGUAAAGCGUGCGCAGGCGGUUAUAUAAGACAGAUGUGAAAUCCCCGGGCUCAACCUGGGAACUGCAUUAGUGACUGUAUAGCUGGAGUGCGGCAGAGGGGAUGGAAUUCGCGUGUAGCAGUGAAAUGCGUAGAUAUGCGGAGGAACACCGAUGGCGAAGCAUCCCUGGGCUGCACUGA